UUGGAGAAGAAUAACAAUCUGGAGGGAUAAACUAUUCUGAACAUGCCAAUAAUGAAACGUGAAAACCUUAUGGGGACUUGAGAUAAUUGGCUUGUGUGAAAGGGUCUGUUAGACAAGUGAAGAAUAGAUAUGAACAAAGGCAACAGGUAUGUGUUACAAGUCAAUGGAACUUACUGACUAAAUUCUAAGUAGAACAUUGUUUAAAAAGUUAAAAGGGAGUGGAUUUUUCCUCCCAACUGAAAAACAAAGUCUAAAGUUUAAUGAAUGAUUUCUGCAAUAAAAUAUGGUAAAAUAACUAUUAAUCUAUCAGUUGUAGACCCUUGGAAUCUUAUUUAUUUUUAACUCUUGAGCUUUUUUGUGAGCUUAAGAAUAUACAGAAAGCACCCAGCAAUUUUUAUUCUACUGAUGGUACAACCAUAUCAGGCCUGUCUUAUCUCCUUCAGGACCUCACUAAUUCCACAAGAGACCUUCUUCUGUCCAGCCUGUUGUUUUUAUUCCAAAUGAUGACAACACUGUUUCUCACCUCCAGCCCAGACCGACAUUCAUCUUGUGUACUGAUAGAGUCCAGAGAAGAAUCUCUUUUCUGUCUUUCCAUCCAAUAGUUGAAUUUUGAGCGCUGAAAAGACCUUUUAUAUGACCAAGAUGAGAGAAUAUUA
RNAcentral lists this long non-coding RNA (656 nucleotides) under Homo sapiens (human). Its description in RNAcentral is "HSALNT0147322". Lineage: Eukaryota; Metazoa; Chordata; Mammalia; Primates; Hominidae. The record is from RNAcentral.